ACGGAGGGAUCGAACGUUAAUCGGAAUUACUGGGCGUAAAGCGCGCGUAGGCGGUUUGAUAAGUGGGAUGUGAAAGCCCCGGGCUUAACCUGGGAACUGCAUUCCAAACUGUCAGACUAGAGUAUGGUAGAGGGUGGUAGAAUUUCCUGUGUAGCGGUGAAAUGCGUAGAUAUAGGAAGGAAUACCGAUGGCGAAGGCAGCCACCUGGACCAAUACUGACGCUGAGGUGCGAAAGCGUGGGGAGCAAACAGG
Molecule: ribosomal RNA, 252 nt
Filed under: uncultured bacterium
Lineage: Bacteria
Description: partial 16S ribosomal RNA
Rfam family: Bacterial small subunit ribosomal RNA
Source: RNAcentral